This 253-nucleotide ribosomal RNA is filed under the name uncultured bacterium. Its description in RNAcentral is "partial 16S ribosomal RNA". It matches the Rfam family "Bacterial small subunit ribosomal RNA", at positions 524 to 776 of the family's 1533-position model. The record is from RNAcentral.
CACGUAGGGCGCGAGCGUUGUCCGGAUUUAUUGGGCGUAAAGAGCUCGUAGGCGGUCUGUUGCGUCGGCUGUGAAAACCCGGGGCUCAACUCCGGGCCUGCAGCCGAUACGGGCAGACUAGAGUUCGGCAGGGGAGACUGGAAUUCCUGGUGUAGCGGUGAAAUGCGCAGAUAUCAGGAGGAACACCGGUGGCGAAGGCGGGUCUCUGGGCCGAUACUGACGCUGAGGAGCGAAAGCGUGGGGAGCGAACAGG